Molecule: unclassified non-coding RNA, 379 nt
Filed under: uncultured Oligoflexales bacterium
Lineage: Bacteria; Pseudomonadati; Bdellovibrionota; Oligoflexia; Oligoflexales
Description: contains 16S-23S intergenic spacer region
Source: RNAcentral
UCCGUGUUAACCACGGCAGUCUCCUCAGAGUGCCCAACUUAAUGCUGGCAACAGAGGACAGGGGUUGCGCUCGUUGCGGGACUUAACCCAACAUGUCACCACACGAGCUGACGACAGCCAUGCAGCAUCUGUCACCCGGUCUACCGAAGUAGAAAGCUCUAUCUCUAGAGUUGUCCGGGGAUGUCAAACCCAGGUAAGGUUCUUCGCGUUGCUUCGAAUUAAACCACAUGAUCCACCGCUUGUGCGGGUCCCCGUCAAUUCCUUUGAGUUUUAGUCUUGCGACCGUACUCCCCAGGCGGGGUACUUAGCGCGUUAGCUACGACUCGGCAGGGGUCAAGUCCCACCAAAUCUAGUACCCAUCGUUUACAGCGUGGACUAC